This 125-nucleotide small RNA is filed under the name Marmota monax (woodchuck). The record is from RNAcentral. Lineage: Eukaryota; Metazoa; Chordata; Mammalia; Rodentia; Sciuridae.
GCUGGGUGCAGUGGGGCACACCUGUAAUCCCAGUGUCUGAGGAGGCUAAGACAGGAGGAUCACAGUUCAAAGCCAGCCUCAGCAACAGCUGGGGCACUAAGCGACUCAGUGAGACCCUGCCUCUA